AAGUCUGACCUGCCCACUGAAUAAAAUUAAAUGGCCGCAGUAUUUUAACUGUGCAAAGGUAGCAUAAUCAUUAGUCUUUUAAUUGAAGGCUGGUAUGAACGGUUGGACGAGGUAUAAGCUGUUUCAUAUGAAUUUAUAAUAGAAUUUUAUAUUUUAGUUAAAAAGCUAAAAUUUAAUUAAAAGACGAGAAGACCCUAUAAAUCUUUAUACUUUAAAUUAUUUAAGUUUUGUGGAUUAAUUUUAUUUUUAUAGUUUGAAGUAUUUUGUUGGGGUGAUGUUAAAAUUUAAUGAACUUUUAAUUAUUUAGAAUCAUUAAUUUAUGAGCUAUUGAUCCAUUAGUAGUGAUUAUAAGUUUAAGUUACUUUAGGGAUAACAGCGUAAUUUUUUUGGAGAGUUCUUAUCGAUAAAAAAGUUUGCGACCUCGAUGUUGGAUUAAGAUGUAUUUUUAGGUGUAGGCGCUUAAAC
Molecule: ribosomal RNA, 465 nt
Filed under: Bactrocera resima
Lineage: Eukaryota; Metazoa; Arthropoda; Insecta; Diptera; Tephritidae
Description: partial large subunit ribosomal RNA
Rfam family: Bacterial large subunit ribosomal RNA
Source: RNAcentral